GCGGCGUGCUUAACACAUGCAAGUCGAACGCAGCCUUCGGGCUGAGUGGCGGACGGGUGAGUAUCGCGUGAGAAUCUACCUUCAGGAUGGGGACAACCGUUGGAAACGACGGCUAAUCCCCAAUAGGCCGCAAGGUGAGACGGGAUUCCGCCUGGAGAGGAGCUCGCGUCCGAUUAGUUAGUUGGUGAGGUAAGAGCUUACCAAGGCAGCGAUCGGUAGCUGGUCUGAGAGGAUGAGCAGCCACACUGGGACUGAGACACGGCCCAGACUCCUACGGGAGGCAGCAGUGGGGAAUUUUCCGCAAUGGGCGCAAGCCUGACGGAGCAACGCCGCGUGUGGGAAGAAGGCUCUUGGGCUGUCAACCACUUUUCUCAGGGAAGAAGCCCUGACGGUACCUGAGGAAUCAGCCUCGGCUAACUCCGUGCCAGCAGCCGCGGUAAUACGGAGGAGGCAAGCGUUAUCCGGAAUCAUUGGGCGUAAAGCGUCCGCAGGGGGCACAUCAAGUCUGCUG
This 511-nucleotide ribosomal RNA is filed under the name uncultured organism. Its description in RNAcentral is "bacterial SSU rRNA". It matches the Rfam family "Bacterial small subunit ribosomal RNA", at positions 39 to 594 of the family's 1533-position model. The record is from RNAcentral.